This 241-nucleotide long non-coding RNA is filed under the name Ananas comosus (pineapple). RNAcentral describes it as "long non-coding RNA (ACOM_LNC037997)". The record is from RNAcentral. Lineage: Eukaryota; Viridiplantae; Streptophyta; Magnoliopsida; Poales; Bromeliaceae.
GAGCUAUUGCAUAAUACUAAAAAAAAAAUUUAAAAUUUUGAAAUAAAAGAUUUAAGUGAGGCCUCAUAUAUUUUUGGUAUUGAAAUUAAAGGGGAUAGAUAUAAUGGUUUAUUCAGUCUAAUUCGAAAGGCCCACAGAGAAAAUUUUAAAAAAAUUUUAAAUACAUAAGCUUAAAUCCAGUGUUGCUCCUAUUCAGAAAGGGGAUAAGCUUAAUACUUUUCAAUAUCCCAAGAAUCAAUUA